This 802-nucleotide long non-coding RNA is filed under the name Phoenix dactylifera (date palm). RNAcentral's name for it is "long non-coding RNA (PDAC_LNC000385)". The record is from RNAcentral. Lineage: Eukaryota; Viridiplantae; Streptophyta; Magnoliopsida; Arecales; Arecaceae.
UUAUCAGAAAAAAUCCAUUGAUACUAAUUGUCGACUCCAUUUGCGCCUGAUGAGCUAAACCAGAUUGAUGUGCAUCAGCAUUAAGAGGCGAUUUGAGCUAAACCUUCUCUGAUUGUGAGAGCCUUGCAAGGGCUCUCCACAAUGAGGCUAAAGAAGAUGAGUCACACCCAAAUAAUGACAUUAAAAAAAUGGCAGAUACAAAAUUAAUUUACGACCAAAAAGAAAGGAAAAAAUACAGCAUUAUUGUCGGCCAGCUAUAUUUCCGAGUAAUGUCGAGGAAAACCUGAAACGAGCGAAGAGAUUUGUCUGUUCCACAAAUGUAACAAAGGAGCAUUUCAUGAGAGAUUUCUGUCCGGUGAAAUCUCCCUCUUCUUGCAUACAAACGACGAAUGAGAGAAAAAUGGGAGGCCCCACUGGGAAGAAAAGAUGAUAGCAGGACUAACGACUUCAUCCAGCUUUGCAGUCUCUGCAAUACCAGCAUACAACUCGGCAAUCCUUCUUGCCGCUCCAAUCGAAGGAAAACACCUCCACUUUAGCUUCUUGGAAGAGGAUAGCCGCAGAGCAACCAUUUUCCCAUUUAAAUUUCUAAGCCAUCGCCUUCCGGACCUCUCGGCCUCGUCGUGCUGGUGAUCCAGCCUCCGAUAGUGGCCUCCUGAGCAUCCUGCAACAAUAUCCUGGAACCCCAUCCGAAGGUGAACUCGGUAUAUAGAAUGGAUGGCAAACUGGAACGGCUUUAUAGAAAUGGAACUUGGAAGACGCAGCUAGUGAUCAGAAGUGAGAGUCGAGUUGUGUGGGGCCAAGC